This is a long non-coding RNA of Mauremys reevesii (Reeves's turtle), 422 nucleotides long. RefSeq lists it as uncharacterized. Lineage: Eukaryota; Metazoa; Chordata; Testudines; Geoemydidae. The record is from RefSeq and is a predicted model, not a curated record. The transcript has 4 exons.
CUUUGAAGACUCUCUGCAGAUGCCUUAGGAGCUGGCUGAGAAAAAGCAGCAGGAAGGAGAAGAAGCUGCUUGCCUUGACUACGGUGGACCAGUGAAACUCCCUACACCCCAGGGGCUGCUGGCACGACUCCUGGUAGUAGCCUCGUCCCCUUAUGCAGGAGAAGGACACGGAUGUGCUGCCUUGCAGUUACUACAGGCCCUGCACCAAAAUAUCCAUGUAGCAGUGGGUGAGAUGUGGGGAGUAAAGAUCCCAUCUCUGCUGCAGUACAUUGAAGGAAACACAGAGAAUUCCCUGGACCACGUGCAGUGGGAGCACAUGCUGCUUCAGGUACAAGAUGGCUUUCAGCUGUAUUGUCACAGCCCUCCCUCCCCCCUCCAAAUGUAUCAGCUGGGGAAAAUAUUAAUGAUAAACUAUUCGUUCU